Molecule: non-coding RNA, 423 nt
Organism: Vicia faba (fava bean)
Lineage: Eukaryota; Viridiplantae; Streptophyta; Magnoliopsida; Fabales; Fabaceae
Source: the annotation of a GenBank genome assembly
AUGAUAUCAGUGGUAUAUGUUUGCAAUUUGGAGCGGCUUAACAUAUAUUUGCAUUUGAUUGCGGUACCGGUUCGUGGAGGUUCCAUAGGUGGUUCACCAGCGGCUCGCGAUGGUGAUGGAGGUGAUGGACAAUGGGCUUGUCGUGCGUGCAGCUGGGUUGGAGUGGAUCCGAGUUCUAAUCUGGGAGGUUGUAAACAGUGGUCUAUGGCGAUGUCGAUGUUGCUUACAUCGUUGAUGGUUGCCCUUUUCCUCUUCCUUCAAAAAAAAAAUUCAAAUGGUAAAAAAAAGGGUGACAGGUUUUGGAGGAGAGACCGGAGGAUUCAAUGCUUCAUGGAGGCUUGUAAACUUUUCAGCACAAUUGCGAUUUCCUUCUCCUCAUUUCUUUUCUACCUUGAAAACAAGGUUCAGAAAUUCAUAAAUUGA